Molecule: ribosomal RNA, 754 nt
Filed under: uncultured organism
Description: bacterial SSU rRNA
Rfam family: Archaeal small subunit ribosomal RNA
Source: RNAcentral
GGCGCAUGGAGACCUUGGCCCAGGCCCUACGGGGCGCAGCAGUCGCGAAAACUCCGCAAUGCGCGAAAGCGUGACGGGGCUACCCCGAGUGCCGUCCGCUGAGGAUGGCUUUUCCCCGGUGUAAUGAGCCGGGGGAAUAAGGAGAGGGCAAGUCUGGUGUCAGCCGCCGCGGUAAUACCAGCUCUCCGAGUGGUAGGGACAAUUAUUGGGCUUAAAGCGUCCGUAGCUGGCUUGGCAAGUCUCCUGUUAAAUUCAGCGACUUAAUCGUUGAGCCGCGGGAGAUACUACUAGGCUAGGAGGCGGGAGAGGCCGACGGUAUUCCCGGGGUAGGGGUGAAAUCCUAUAAUCCCGGGAGGACCACCAGUGGCGAAGGCUGUCGGCUAGAACGCGCUCGACGGUGAGGGACGAAAGCUGGGGGAGCGAACCGGAUUAGAUACCCGGGUAGUCCCAGCCGUAAACGAUGCGGGCUAGGUGUUGAGGUGGCUACGGGCCACUUCAGUGCCGCAGGGAAGCCAUUAAGCCCGCCGCCUGGGGAGUACGGCCGCAAGGCUGAAACUUAUAGGAAUUGGCGGGGGAGCACCACAAGGCGUGAAGCUUGCGGUUCAAUUGGAGUCAACGCCGGGAACCUUACCGGGGGCGACAGCCGGAUGAAGGCCAGAUUGAAGGUCUUGCUGGACAAGCUGAGAGGAGGUGCAUGGCCGUCGCCAGUUCGUGCCGUGAGGUGUCCUGUUAAGUCAGGCAACGAUCGAGACCC